Molecule: long non-coding RNA, 1080 nt
Filed under: Bemisia tabaci
Lineage: Eukaryota; Metazoa; Arthropoda; Insecta; Hemiptera; Aleyrodidae
Description: lncRNA ENSSSA2NGG004402
Source: RNAcentral
AUGAUCCUAGAUGUCCUCAGGUACCACCAUCUUUUCCUACACCUUCAACACCUCGACCACCACAAUCACCUGUGUGUUACCCAGUGCUUUAGAUCCGCGAUGUCCACAGACUGCCAACCUACACCGCCACCUCAGGCUCUGCAAUGUUAUCCCGGUUCCCCUGACCCGAGGUGUCCACAAACUUACCCGCCUACUCUAUCUCCACCAACUUCGACCUUACGCCCAAUUGAUACGCCAGUUUGUUAUCCUGGGUCACCAGAUAAACGUUGCCCACAACCAAGUAGUAAACGGCCUCCGUCCGGAUAUUUACCACCAUCGGGAGAACCAUCCUCUCCUAACUGUUAUAACGGGUCGCCAGAUCCUAGAUGUCUACAAACACCUCAACCCACUCAACCUCAAACUCCUUUAUCACUUGUAUGUUAUCCGGGAUCUUCAGACCCAAGGUGUCCUCAAACACCACAGCCGAUUGCUCCGUCAACAUCUCCUAGGCCAAAUUGUUACCCAGGCUCUCUCGAUGCUAGAUGUCCGCAGCCACCAAAACCUACCCCUCCGCCAACAACUCAAACCCCAACCUGCUAUCCAGGCUCUCUAGACCCAAGAUGCCCUCAAACACCGAAACCAACGAGACCUUCAAGUAUCACUCCUCCAGUCUGCUAUCCAGGAUCAACAGAUCCUAGAUGCCCACAAACUCCGCGUCCGACACCUUUCCCAACGCCUGCAGCACCUAAUUGCUAUCCAGGAUCAACAGAUCCUAGAUGUCCACAAACACCGCGUCCUACAUCUUUGCCAACGCCUGCACCACCUAACUGCUAUCCAGGAUCAACAGAUCCUAGAUGCCCACAAACUCCGCGUCCGACAUCUUUCCCAACGCCCGCACCACCUAACUGCUAUCCAGGAUCAACAGAUCCUAGCUGCCCGCAACUCCGCGUCCGACAUCUAUCCCAACGCCCGCACCACCUAACUGCUAUCCAGGAUCAACAGAUCGAAGAUGUCCUCAGACUCCCAAACCGACGUCCGUUGCGACUCUCUCCCCGCCCAUUUGCUACGUCGGAGCUACCGAUCCUAGAUGUCCUUCACUAA